RNAcentral lists this ribosomal RNA (504 nucleotides) under uncultured bacterium. RNAcentral describes it as "partial 16S ribosomal RNA". It matches the Rfam family "Bacterial small subunit ribosomal RNA", at positions 28 to 507 of the family's 1533-position model. The record is from RNAcentral.
GACGAACGCUGGCGGCGUGCCUAAUACAUGCAAGUAGAACGCACAGUUUAUACCGUAGCUUGCUACACCAUAGACUGUGAGUUGCGAACGGGUGAGUAACGCGUAGGUAACCUGCCUGGUAGCGGGGGAUAACUAUUGGAAACGAUAGCUAAUACCGCAUAAUAUUGAUUAUUGCAUGAUAAUUGAUUGAAAGAUGCUAUUGCAUCACUACAGAUGGACCUGCGUUGUAUUAGCUAGUAGGUGAGGUAACGGCUCACCUAGGCGACGAUACAUAGCCGACCUGAGAGGGUGAUCGGCCACACUGGGACUGAGACACGGCCCAGACUCCUACGGGAGGCAGCAGUAGGGAAUCUUCGGCAAUGGACGAAAGUCUGACCGAGCAACGCCGCGUGAGUGAAGAAGGUUUUCGGAUCGUAAAGCUCUGUUGUAAGAGAAGAACGGGUGUGAGAGUGGAAAGUUCACACUGUGACGGUAUCUUACCAGAAAGGGACGGCUAACUACGUG